GACGAACGCUGGCGGCGUGCUUAACACAUGCAAGUCGAGCGAGACCCCGCUUUCGGGUGGGUGUUCUAGCGGCGAACGGGUGAGUAACACGUGGGCAACCUGCCCUCAGCUCUGGGAUAACUCCAAGAAAUUGGGGCUAAUACCGGAUAUGACCGCUGACCGCAUGGUCUGGUGGUGGAAAGAUUUAUCGGCUGGGGAUGGGCCCGCGGCCUAUCAGCUUGUUGGGGGGGUAGUGGCCUACCAAGGCGACGACGGGUAGCCGGCCUGAGAGGGUGACCGGCCACACUGGGACUGAGACACGGCCCUGACUCCUACGGGAGGCAGCAGUGGGGAAUAUUGCGCAAUGGGCGAAAGCCUGACGCAGCGACGCCGCGUGGGGGAUGACGGCCUUCGGGUUGUAAACCUCUUUCAGCAGGGACGAAGCGAAAGUGACGGUACCUGCAGAAGAAGCACCGGCCAACUACGUGCCAGCCGCCGCCGUAA
Molecule: ribosomal RNA, 483 nt
Filed under: uncultured bacterium
Lineage: Bacteria
Description: partial 16S ribosomal RNA
Rfam family: Bacterial small subunit ribosomal RNA
Source: RNAcentral